Bos taurus (domestic cattle) is the source of this 661-nucleotide long non-coding RNA. The record is from Ensembl. NCBI's taxonomy places the organism in Eukaryota, Metazoa, Chordata, Mammalia, Artiodactyla, Bovidae.
GAGCUCAGCAAGCUGGGGAAGUUAGAAACAGCUAGUGGCUGACAUCUGGCUCACCCAACUAAUGAUGUCAAGAGGAAAUCUCUGGUUCACUGGCAGUGAGCAAUUGAAGGAAACUGGCUCACCGCGCCAACCCUGAAAAAAAAGCAAUCCUUGCAACAAUCCAGGUUGCUCUGACCUUGGCCUAAUGCUCCUGAUUCCCUGUGCAGAGCUAAUGAGUUUGCUGCUUUGUGGCUUUUAGAGAGGUUGCUAAGGACAGCCAGUUAUGCAUUCAGAAACGAGACCCAAGAACCCUGUCUCUGCCACCAGGGAAGACAGUGAAAAGAAGGAAAGGCACCAUGGUGCCAUAAGGAAGACCACACUCCUUACUCUCAGAGGCUGCUGCUGCUGCUAAGUCUCUUCAGUCAUGUCCGACUCUGUGCGACCCCAUAGACAGCAGCCCACCAGGCUCCCCUGUCCCUGGGAUUCUCCGGGCAAGAACACUGGAGUGGGUUGCCAUUUCCUUCUCCAAUGCCUGAAAGUGAAAAGUGAAAGUGAAGUCGCUCAGUCAUGUCCAACUCCUAGUGACCCCAUGGACUGCAGCCUACCAGGCUCCUCCGUCCAUGGGAUUUGCCGGGCAAGAGUACUGGAGUGGGUUGCCAUUGCCUUCUCCACUCUCAGAGGC